RNAcentral lists this long non-coding RNA (1534 nucleotides) under Sus scrofa (pig). RNAcentral's name for it is "lncRNA (ENSSSCG00040058893.1)". Lineage: Eukaryota; Metazoa; Chordata; Mammalia; Artiodactyla; Suidae. The record is from RNAcentral.
GGCGGGGCCCGGAGUUUAUACCGCCGCGCGCGGGCCGCUGGCGGCAGACAAUACGGCUCCCGGCUCCAGCGCUCCGGGCAGACGCCGCCGCCACCGCCGCCACCGCCGCCACCGCCGCGAGGUAAGUCCGAUCCCUGCCGCCUCUGCUGGGGACCUAACUCCGCUGCCGUCCGCCCCUCCGCCCGGCCCCAGCUCUGCAGGUAGGCGCCGGGGGCUGCCCUGGGCGCCGAGCGGCUGGAAGCUGGGGGCCAUGUGCCCAGGUUUUGCUUACUCGGGUUGACUCCUUGGGGGCGACGUCUCGGGACCUCGGUUCCGGAACAAUCCUUCGCUGGCGGAGGCUCCAGUUCCCCGUUGGCGGGCGUGCCAGCCGCGGGCCCCGAGGGCCUCAGUCUCCGCAUCCGUACAAUGGGCCACCCUUCUGCACCGCACCCCGGGGGCCGGACGCCCCUUUGCUCAGCGCCUCCUUCUGGUGCGGCCUCUGGGGCCGGGCUCCCACGUCCUUCGGGUCCUGCGGACCCGGCCGGAGCGCGGAACCCCCAGGCCGGGGCCGCGGUGACACAGCCGCGCGGCCACGAAAAAGGGGAAUAUGGCGUCGGGCACUGGUCCCCGCCGGCCCCGGGGCGCCCCGGCGCCGCGCACCUGCGAAGGGCCCGAGACGAACUUGACCGGGGCCGCAGGCGGGGCGGUCCGGAACAGGAACUGCGCGCCGAGCGGGCGCCGCCGCCCUCCGCCUGCCCACUGCCUGCGCAGGUGCGCCCGGCGGGGAAGGCGCCCGGUUUGGUUUUGUAAACCGGGGACCGCCGGCCGCCGCAGCGCUGGAGUGGCCGCCGGGCGCGUUCCAUCCGGUGACCGCGAGGGGUCCCGCCGCCCAUCCCCGCGCGGUCCAAACCAGCCCUGGGCUGGGGACUCGAGGCUCCUUAACACUUGCUCCACGCGCUCCUGUCUCCUGGGUGCGAAACGAGAAGAAAUGUAUGAAGCAAGACCCCUCUCCAGGAGCCUCUUCUUGUACACCUUCCUGCAAAACCAUGGCCCCAGCUUCCUGGACGAGCAAGUGGUGGGGGUUCCUGGCGUGACCAAUAUCUUGGAGUUCCACCCCGAGGUCUCCCCCCACAGCAGUGAGGCCCCCCAUCACCUGGCCAUGCAGCUGGCCUCCAUUGCCGAUGAUCUGGAGCUGAGGUUGCUGCUGCCCCAGUUCGCCGAGCCACUCUGGAUGAUCGUGUACAGCUCUUUCUUCCCCUUUAGCCAGAUAGGCCCGAGGGAUGUUCUUCGAAGCUUCAUGAUUGCGUUCACGAACCUCAGGGAGAACCGAAGGCUCAGGAGCAUCUUGUCCCUCAGGGACAGGGUGUCUCCCAGCCUGUGGCCCGAGCUGGCGCUGUCCCUGCUGCUGGUGGUGAUGCUUGCCUGGAGGGUCGUUACUGGUGAACGCACCUGCUCCCCUGGCCCAGCCCGCGCUGUGCCGAGAAGGUGCCUCCUCCUUGUGGGUUGGUCACAGCGGACGUCAGGGGGGGUGCUGGUCACACCCCUGUGUCUGUGA